This 443-nucleotide ribosomal RNA is filed under the name uncultured bacterium. Its description in RNAcentral is "partial 16S ribosomal RNA". It matches the Rfam family "Bacterial small subunit ribosomal RNA", at positions 338 to 795 of the family's 1533-position model. The record is from RNAcentral.
CCUACGGGGGGCAGCAGUGGGGAAUAUUGGGCAAUGGGCGCAAGCCUGACCCAGCAACGCCGCGUGAAGGAAGAAGGCUUUCGGGUUGUAAACUUCUUUUGUCAGGGACGAAGCAAGUGACGGUACCUGAAGAAUAAGCCACGGCUAACUACGUGCCAGCAGCCGCGGUAAUACGUAGGUGGCAAGCGUUACCCGGAUUUACUGGGGGUAAAGGGCGUGUAGGCGGGACAGCAAGUCAGAUGUGAAAACCACGGGCUCAACCUGUGGCCUGCAUUUGAAACUGUAGUUCUAGAGUACUGGAGAGGCAGACGGAAUUCUUGGUGUAGCGGUGAAAUGCGUAGAGAUUAGGAGGAACACCAGUGGCGAAGGCGGUCUGCUAGACAGCAACUGACGCUGAGGCGCGAAAGCGUGGGGAGCAAACAGGAUUAGAUACCCUGGUAGUC